UCAGUUCACGAGGUGCAUGUGGUUGCUUGCGUUAAACGUAUAAACUGUUAAAUUAGAUGGCGACUCUGCAUUAAACGUAUUUAUUUAAUUAAUCGGCGAUCGUAUUUCACCAGAGGACUAAGAUAAAACAACUCGAUUUAAAAUAUGAGCAGUUUUAGUGGAUCUGACGUCGAGGGAAAAAGUAUUUCGCUUUUUGUUUGGAGAUGAACGAGACAACACGAGGCACAGCGACAUAAAUAUGACCAACCAGAUCCCAAGUAGACAGGAACAAAUGAAGAUACAGCGCAUAGAAAGACUUAUUCUUGGUGAUCAACUGCUAUUGACAUUUUUGAAUUGGGACAAUUGUGGAGUGAUUCGGAAGAAAAACGUUUGCAACACAUCCAUUCCAGAGUGCUCUGACAGAUACAACUGACACGCUUGAUGAGGACACAGUCAAAGCUUUAAAAGGUAAACUGAGAAGUUAACAAAACUUCCAUACAUGCAUAUCUAUGCCAAUUUAUUUUAAACAUGGAUAGCCAAAUGUUCAUUCAUUAUUGGUUAAUUGGUAUAUUCUGUUUCCUUUUCACA
Long non-coding RNA from Paramisgurnus dabryanus, 567 nucleotides. RefSeq lists it as uncharacterized. The record is from RefSeq and is a predicted model, not a curated record. Lineage: Eukaryota; Metazoa; Chordata; Actinopteri; Cypriniformes; Cobitidae.